RNAcentral lists this unclassified non-coding RNA (344 nucleotides) under uncultured Mycena. Its description in RNAcentral is "sequence contains ITS1". The stretch from base 1 to 105 matches the Rfam family "5.8S ribosomal RNA", at positions 50 to 154 of the family's 154-position model. The record is from RNAcentral. Lineage: Eukaryota; Fungi; Basidiomycota; Agaricomycetes; Agaricales; Tricholomataceae.
GAAAUGCGAUAAGUAAUGUGAAUUGCAGAAUUCAGUGAAUCAUCGAAUCUUUGAACGCACCUUGCACUCCUUGGUAUUCCGAGGAGUAUGCCUGUUUGAGUGUCAUUAAAUUCUCAAACCUCAAUGGCUUUAUUGACAUUGAGGCUUUGGAUGUGGGGGUUGCUGGACUCUAACGAGCUCAGCUCUCCUUAAAUGCAUUAGUGGUUACUGUUUCCCACUUCCUGGUGUGAUAAUAUCUACGCCUAGUGGGAAUGUUAAGUGUAGCUGCUUUCGAACCGUCCAUGAAAUGUGGACAACUUGAACCAUUUGACCUCAAAUCAGGUAGGACUACCCGCUGAACUUAA